Oncorhynchus kisutch (coho salmon) is the source of this 1001-nucleotide long non-coding RNA. The record is from Ensembl. Lineage: Eukaryota; Metazoa; Chordata; Actinopteri; Salmoniformes; Salmonidae.
GUUCGGUGGAACGUAAGUGCGUUAUCAUGGGAUGCUGUCUUCAAAUCUUGUCCCAAAUGGCAGUAACCUACUGGAAAGUGCAUAAAAUGUGGUGAGUAAUUGACUCAAAGAGAGAGAAAGACAAUAGUUGAACACUUUUGAACAAAUUCAUUUAUUCCAAAAUGAAGGAAAAGCAAAAGAGAAAUAUAUGGAUUUCGUCAGUGUUUUUCACUUUCAUUUUCACUUACUUAGCUAGCAAACGGAGUUAGCUAGUUUAGCCUACUGAAAGAAACACCCUGCUCCAACAGAUGGAUUCUAUGUUAGCUAGCUGGCUAUGGCUAUCCAACACAACACUGAAACUCUUCCAAGUCAAGUGCUGUACUACUUACUGUACCAUUGGGGAUCUGCUGCAUGGUUUGUCGUAUUGGAUCCUCUGCUCAGCUGUGGGAACAUUGCCUGGUGACGUCAUUGGCCUGCAACUCCACUGUAGUCAGCCAGGUAUUUCUCUGGUUGAGAGGCAAGGAAUCAGCAGCGGUGGCAUCAUUGCUUAGAGACUGAAACACACAGGAGGACCUCAGGUAAGUGGCAUGUGAACACAAAUGGUAAAUGACACUCACGCCAAUAAACAGCACACCAGUGGCACACAAUAUCAGUAACAAUGGAGCAGUGAUCAUAGUUAAAUUCACAGUCGAUGUACAAUAACUACUCACUCAGUAAUGUUAAAUAGUUAGGUUGCAGCUGUGACAGUGAUGACAGUCACACCUGGAUCCAAUUUGCUGACUGUAAAUUGCUUUCAAUAAAAGCGUCUGCUAAAUGACCACCAUGUAAAUACAAAAAUGAACACUUGCAAAGCACUCUGGGUAUUAUUUUAAUGUGCUCCAGCCAUUAACAAGACCCAAUUUUGUCAGGCAGGACCAAAUCGGAACCAACCCUGGGCAAGUCUAUGUUUGGGCCAUAUCAGGGCCGGUCCAGACCGGACCAAAUCUGAACCAAACAACGUCUGUGGUUAUAGUCGUCUAUAC